This 497-nucleotide ribosomal RNA is filed under the name uncultured bacterium. RNAcentral's name for it is "partial 16S ribosomal RNA". It matches the Rfam family "Bacterial small subunit ribosomal RNA", at positions 28 to 507 of the family's 1533-position model. The record is from RNAcentral.
GAUGAACGCUGGCGGCGUGCCUAAUACAUGCAAGUCGAGCGAACAGACGAGGAGCUUGCUCCUCUGACGUUAGCGGCGGACGGGUGAGUAACACGUGGAUAACCUACCUAUAAGACUGGGAUAACUUCGGGAAACCGGAGCUAAUACCGGAUAAUAUAUUGAACCGCAUGGUUCAAUAGUGAAAGACGGUUUUGCUGUCACUUAUAGAUGGAUCCGCGCCGCAUUAGCUAGUUGGUAAGGUAACGGCUUACCAAGGCAACGAUGCGUAGCCGACCUGAGAGGGUGAUCGGCCACACUGGAACUGAGACACGGUCCAGACUCCUACGGGAGGCAGCAGUAGGGAAUCUUCCGCAAUGGGCGAAAGCUUGACGGAGCAACGCCGCGUGAGUGAUGAAGGUCUUCGGAUCGUAAAACUCUGUUAUUAGGGAAGAACAAAUGUGUAAGUAACUAUGCACGUCUUGACGGUACCUAAACAGAAAGCCACGGCUAACUACGUG